This 301-nucleotide ribosomal RNA is filed under the name uncultured bacterium. RNAcentral describes it as "partial 16S ribosomal RNA". It matches the Rfam family "Bacterial small subunit ribosomal RNA", at positions 509 to 807 of the family's 1533-position model. The record is from RNAcentral.
CAGCCGCCGCGGUAAUACAGAGGGUGCGAGCGUUAAUCGGAUUUACUGGGCGUAAAGCGUGCGUAGGCGGCUUCUUAAGUCGGAUGUGAAAUCCCUGAGCUUAACUGAGGAAUUGCAUUCGAUACUGGGAAGCUAGAGUAUGGGAGAGGAUGGUAGAAUUCCAGGUGUAGCGGUAAAAUGCGUAGAGAUCUGGAGGAAUACCGAUGGCGAAGGCAGCUAUCUGGUCUAAUACUGACGCUGAGGUACGAAAGCAUGGGGAGCAAACAGGAUUAGAUACCCCCGUAGUCCCUGUCUCUUAUAC